Long non-coding RNA from Gorilla gorilla gorilla (western lowland gorilla), 596 nucleotides. RefSeq lists it as uncharacterized. The transcript is spliced from 3 exons. NCBI's taxonomy places the organism in Eukaryota, Metazoa, Chordata, Mammalia, Primates, Hominidae. The record is from RefSeq and is a predicted model, not a curated record.
GUGAAAUGUGCAUUAUUAGGUCACAAGAGGAUAACGUUACAGGGUUCCAUAGCAUAAUCCUUGAAAGCCCUGAGGCCCAGGCCGCUGUCCUGCUCUCCUCUCCACUGACUCCCAUCCUCGAUAUACUUUCCAUGAGAGAAAGAAUGUGAAGUUGAUGGCUGGAGUCGGAGCAGCCAUAUUGGAUGAUUUGAUUGAAAAUGGCCCAUGGAGUACAACCACCUGGGAACAUAUCCUCGAGAAAGACAGUUGAGGCUUAUUGCCUAAACCACAGGCUACUGAAAACUUGGCCAAAGGCGACUACUCUAAACUGGUGACUUCAAAAGUGCUGAUGAAUACAGUGAACCAUGAAAGAUGCAUUAUUUGUUUUGAACAUUUUACUAUGAUUGAUGACCCAGAUUUGGCAAGUUAGUUCACUCCCAGUGGAGAUGAAAGUUUCACUGCCUUCUUUCUUUCAACAUUCUUGUUGAGACAGAUUUCACUUUUAUUGGCCAAUGUACUAACAAAUCACUUGCAUUUGCAGCAUAAUGAAUUCAUUAGCAACACUGUGGAUCAAUGCUAUACAUAAUAUUCCUGAGUCAACAUUAACUCUUAAUUAA